This 509-nucleotide ribosomal RNA is filed under the name uncultured bacterium. Its description in RNAcentral is "bacterial SSU rRNA". It matches the Rfam family "Bacterial small subunit ribosomal RNA", at positions 791 to 1300 of the family's 1533-position model. The record is from RNAcentral.
UAGUCCACGCCGUAAACGAUGUCUACUUGGAGGUUGUGGCCUUGAGCCGUGGCUUUCGGAGCUAACGCGUUAAGUAGACCGCCUGGGGAGUACGGUCGCAAGAUUAAAACUCAAAUGAAUUGACGGGGGCCCGCACAAGCGGUGGAGCAUGUGGUUUAAUUCGAUGCAACGCGAAGAACCUUACCUACUCUUGACAUCCAGAGAAGCCAGCGGAGACGCAGGUGUGCCUUCGGGAGCUCUGAAACAGGUGCUGCAUGGCUGUCGUCAGCUCGUGUUGUGAAAUGUUGGGUUAAGUCCCGCAACGAGCGCAACCCUUAUCCUUGUUUGCCAGCGAGUAAUGUCGGGAACUCCAGGGAGACUGCCGGUGAUAAACCGGAGGAAGGUGGGGACGACGUCAAGUCAUCAUGGCCCUUACGAGUAGGGCUACACACGUGCUACAAUGGUGGUGACAGUGGGCAGCGACCUCGCGAGAGGAAGCUAAUCUCCAAAAGCCAUCUCAGUUCGGAUUG